This is a long non-coding RNA of Sapajus apella (tufted capuchin), 1052 nucleotides long. RefSeq lists it as uncharacterized. The record is from RefSeq and is a predicted model, not a curated record. The transcript is spliced from 3 exons. NCBI's taxonomy places the organism in Eukaryota, Metazoa, Chordata, Mammalia, Primates, Cebidae.
UGGCUUCUUCCACAUUUAUGGACUAGUUCUAUUCUGAAAAGAGAAAUAUUUUCCUCAUGAACUGGGGGUGAACUAUAAUAGUUCUACCUAAAGCGCAUGAAAAACAUUUAGUUGUCACCAAUAACGAUGUCAAAUGAUGUGCUUUCUCCACCCACCCCAGCCUCACAUCGCCAUAAACACAUGGCUUUUUAUGGAUUCAAUGUGGUAUAAUAAAUUACAAUGCUCAGAGUCAGGAUCAAUAUCAUAAUCCACUCAUGGAUUUACAUCUGCUGGGUACACAGGACCAAUUUGAAGCAAUCACGGAAGACAGGGGACUCAGCCCAAUAUCCAUCCUGUGAUAACUGAACCUUUGCAUACAUAGAUUAAUGAUAUCAGCUUGAGGAGAGUCCAUAGCUGUGGAACACUCUUCACAGAAUGACCCUGGCUUAGAACUGCUUAUGAGACACACCCAGAAUCAAAGGCAUUGUUAUGAGGCACCUGUCCCUGAAGGAUAUUCUGUAACCCAUGCAGAACCCUGUGGUACAAAACAGAAAUGUACAAAAAAAACGAUUCAUAAGAAAAAUUAUCUCUACCCAGUGAGGAAAUAAUCUUUUCAAUGAUAAGAAUUUAAACAGUUUUGAUAAAGUCUGAUUUAUCUAUUUUUUUCUCUCUUGGUUCAUGGUUUCCAUAUUUUAUCUAUGAAAUAUUUGCCCCCUAAGUAAAAACAAAAUGCUCCAGAGAGACUCCAUCAACUCAGUCCUGACAUCACAUGUCAGAAAAGAGAAUAUGGGAUCUGUGAAACUAUACUCUGUGUUUUGGUACUAUUCCUGGUUUGAUUGCUCAUAUUCUUGAUGUUAUUAAUUAAGCUUGAUACUGUAUUAGAUUUCUGAUCAAUAUGAGUCUGAAUUGACAACACAAUUCUUUGUGCUCACUAAGUGUAAAAUUUUUGCCAAGUGAUUUUUCAGCUUGUAGAGAUGUUAGUAUAAAGUUAAAUCAACUUUACAUUGCUGAGAAAAAAACUAUACUUGGUCAUAGCAUAUUAUAAUUUUUAUAUAUUAUUGGGUUUAAUCCGU